This 254-nucleotide ribosomal RNA is filed under the name uncultured bacterium. RNAcentral's name for it is "partial 16S ribosomal RNA". It matches the Rfam family "Bacterial small subunit ribosomal RNA", at positions 524 to 776 of the family's 1533-position model. The record is from RNAcentral.
UACGUAGGAUCCAAGCGUUAUCCGGAUUUACUGGGCGUAAAGCGUGUGUAGGCGGUUUGUUAAGUGGGACGCGAAAUCCGGUGGCUCAACCAUCUGGACUGUGUCCUAUACUGGCAAACUUGAGGUCGGCAGAGGCAAGUGGAAUUACGGGUGUAGCAGUGAAAUGCGUAGAGAUCCGUAGGAACACCAAUGGCGAAGGCAGCUUGCUGGGCCGAAUCUGACGCUGAGACACGAAAGCGUGGGGAGCGAACAGG